This 274-nucleotide ribosomal RNA is filed under the name uncultured bacterium. Its description in RNAcentral is "partial 16S ribosomal RNA". It matches the Rfam family "Bacterial small subunit ribosomal RNA", at positions 523 to 796 of the family's 1533-position model. The record is from RNAcentral.
ACACGGAGGGCGCGAGCGUUGUUCGGAAUCACUGGGCGUAAAGCGCUCGUAGGCGGCUUGUUAAGUCGGAUGUGAAAUCCCCGGGCUCAACCUUGGAACUGCAUUCGAUACUGCCUCACUAGAGUAUGGUAGAGGGAAGUGGAAUUCCGGGUGUAGCGGUGAAAUGCGUAGAUAUCAGGAGGAACAUCAGUGGCGAAGGCGACUUCCUGGCCCAAUACUGACGCUGAGGUGCGAAAGCGUGGGGAGCAAACAGGAUUAGAUACCCCAGUAGUCC